Molecule: ribosomal RNA, 441 nt
Filed under: uncultured bacterium
Lineage: Bacteria
Description: partial 16S ribosomal RNA
Rfam family: Bacterial small subunit ribosomal RNA
Source: RNAcentral
CCUACGGGAGGCAGCAGUCGGGAAUAUUGCGCAAUGGAGGAAACUCUGACGCAGUGACGCCGCGUGCAGGAUGAAGGUCUUCGGAUUGUAAACUGCUUUAGACAGGGAAGAAAAAUGACAGUACCUGUAGAUUACGCUCUGGCUAAAUAAGUGCCAGCAGCCGCGGUAAUACGUAGGGAGGAAGCGUUAUCCGGAUUUAUUGGGUGUAAAGGGUGCGUAGACGGAGAAGCAAGUUAGUUGUGAAAUCCCUGGGCUUAACUGAGGAACUGCAACGAAAACUAGUUCCCUUGAGUACUGGAGAGGAAAGUGGAAUUCCUAGUGUAGCGGUGAAAUGCGUAGAUAUAAGGAGGAACACCAGUGGCGAAGGCGACUUUCUGGACAGUAACUGACGUUGAGGCACGAAAGUGUGGGGAGCAAACAGGAUUAGAUACCCGAGUAGUC